GGAGGGGGUUAGCGUUGUUCGGAAUUACUGGGCGUAAUGCGCGCGUAGGCGGAUUAGAAAGUUGGGGGUGAAAUCCCGGGGCUCAACCUGGGAACUGCCUCCAAAACUGUUAGUCUAGAGUUCGAGAGAGGUGAGUGGAAUUCCGAGUGUAGAGGUGAAAUUCGUAGAUAUUCGGAGGAACACCAGUGGCGAAGGCGGUUCACUGGCUCGAUACUGACGCUGAGGUGCGAAAGUGUGGGGAGCAAACAGGAUUAGAUACCCUGGUAGUCCACACCGUAAACGAUGAAUGCCAGUCGUCGGGUAGUAUACUAUUCGGUGACACACCUAACGGAUUAAGCAUUCCGCCUGGUGAGUUCGGUCGCAAGAUUAAAACUCAGAGGAAUUGACGGGGGCCCGCACAAGCGGUGGAGCAUGUGGUUUAAUUCGAAGCAACGCGCACAACCUUACCAAC
This 451-nucleotide ribosomal RNA is filed under the name uncultured Alphaproteobacteria bacterium. RNAcentral's name for it is "bacterial SSU rRNA". It matches the Rfam family "Bacterial small subunit ribosomal RNA", at positions 527 to 978 of the family's 1533-position model. The record is from RNAcentral. Lineage: Bacteria; Pseudomonadati; Pseudomonadota; Alphaproteobacteria.